GACGAACGCUGGCGGCGUGCUUAACACAUGCAAGUCGAACGGAAAGGCCCUACUUUUGUGGGGUGCUCGAGUGACGAACGGGUGAGUAACACGUGAGUAACCUGCCCUUGACUUUGGGAUAACUUCAGGAAACUGGGGCUAAUACCGGAUAGGAGCUCCUGCUGCAUGGUGGGGGUUGGAAAGUUUCGGCGGUUGGGGAUGGACUCGCGGCUUAUCAGCUUGUUGGUGGGGUAGUGGCUUACCAAGGCUUUGACGGGUAGCCGGCCUGAGAGGGUGACCGGCCACAUUGGGACUGAGAUACGGCCCAGACUCCUACGGGAGGCAGCAGUGGGGAAUAUUGCACAAUGGGCGGAAGCCUGAUGCAGCAACGCCGCGUGCGGGAUGACGGCCUUCGGGUUGUAAACCGCUUUCGCCUGUGACGAAGCGUGAGUGACGGUAAUGGGUAAAGAAGCACCGGCUAACUACGUG
RNAcentral lists this ribosomal RNA (468 nucleotides) under uncultured bacterium. Its description in RNAcentral is "partial 16S ribosomal RNA". It matches the Rfam family "Bacterial small subunit ribosomal RNA", at positions 28 to 507 of the family's 1533-position model. The record is from RNAcentral.